GUAGUGCAGAGGUUUAGGACUUGCUUACGGCUUCUCUCCAGCUUGGAACUCAGCUAUUGAAUGGUGGAGGUUGGAUGCGUUGGAGUCUGAAGCUUCUACAACUGAACCAGCAUGCCAUAUACUAUGGCUGUCACAAAGCCAAUAAGUAUUGUUUGCAGUCAUGGAAGAAGGCGGACUUUAAUCUUGAAUUACUAAUAUA
Molecule: long non-coding RNA, 199 nt
Filed under: Elaeis guineensis (African oil palm)
Lineage: Eukaryota; Viridiplantae; Streptophyta; Magnoliopsida; Arecales; Arecaceae
Description: long non-coding RNA (EGUI_LNC017188)
Source: RNAcentral